CAACCUGCCCACCACUUGGGGAUAACCUUGCGAAAGUAAGACUAAUACCCAAUGACGUCUCUAGAAGACAUCUGAAGGAGAUUAAAGAUUUAUCGGUGAUGGAUGGGGAUGCGUCUGAUUAGCUUGUUGGCGGGGUAACGGCCCACCAAGGCGACGAUCAGUAGGGGUUCUGAGAGGAAGGUCCCCCACAUUGGAACUGAGACACGGUCCAAACUCCUACGGGAGGCAGCAGUGAGGAAUAUUGGUCAAUGGGCGGAAGCCUGAACCAGCCAAGUAGCGUGCAGGAUGACGGCCCUAUGGGUUGUAAACUGCUUUUAUACAGGAAUAAAGUUAGCCACGUGUGGUUAUUUGUAGGUACUGUAUGAAUAAGGACCGGCUAAUUCCGUGCCAGCAGCCGCGGUAAUACGGAAGGUCCAGGCGUUAUCCGGAUUUAUUGGGUUUAAAGGGAGCGUAGGCCGUCUGUUAAGCGUGUUGUGAAAUGUAGAUGCUCAACAUCUGAAUUGCAGCGCGAACUGGCAGACUUGAGUGUGCGCAACGUANGCGGAAUUCGUGGUGUAGCGGUGAAAUGCUUAGAUAUCACGAAGAACUCCGAUUG
This 595-nucleotide ribosomal RNA is filed under the name uncultured Bacteroidota bacterium. RNAcentral's name for it is "bacterial SSU rRNA". It matches the Rfam family "Bacterial small subunit ribosomal RNA", at positions 122 to 715 of the family's 1533-position model. The record is from RNAcentral. Lineage: Bacteria; Pseudomonadati; Bacteroidota.